GCCUCCUUUCUAGGCGAACCGCCUUGUAAGCGGUAGGUCGCGAGUUCAAGUCCCGCAACCGGCACCA
This 67-nucleotide transfer RNA is filed under the name Methylobacterium sp. Leaf100. RNAcentral describes it as "tRNA-Leu". Lineage: Bacteria; Pseudomonadati; Pseudomonadota; Alphaproteobacteria; Hyphomicrobiales; Methylobacteriaceae. The record is from RNAcentral.